RNAcentral lists this ribosomal RNA (504 nucleotides) under uncultured bacterium. RNAcentral's name for it is "partial 16S ribosomal RNA". It matches the Rfam family "Bacterial small subunit ribosomal RNA", at positions 30 to 523 of the family's 1533-position model. The record is from RNAcentral.
AUUGAACGCUGGCGGCAGGCCUAACACAUGCAAGUCGAACGGUAGCACAGAGAGCUUGCUCUCGGGUGACGAGUGGCGGACGGGUGAGUAAUGUCUGGGAAACUGCCCGAUGGAGGGGGAUAACUACUGGAAACGGUAGCUAAUACCGCAUAACGUCGCAAGACCAAAGUGGGGGACCUUCGGGCCUCACACCAUCGGAUGUGCCCAGAUGGGAUUAGCUAGUAGGUGGGGUAAUGGCUCACCUAGGCGACGAUCCCUAGCUGGUCUGAGAGGAUGCACAGCCACACUGGAACUGAGACACGGUCCAGACUCCUACGGGAGGCAGCAGUGGGGAAUAUUGCACAAUGGGCGCAAGCCUGAUGCAGCCAUGCCGCGUGUAUGAAGAAGGCCUUCGGGUUGUAAAGUACUUUCAGCGGGGAGGAAGGCGGUGAAGUUAAUAACUUCACCGAUUGACGUUACCCGCAGAAGAAGCACCGGCUAACUCCGUGCCAGCCGCCGCAGUAA